CCUACGGGUGGCAGCAGUGAGGAAUAUUGGUCAAUGGACGAGAGUCUGAACCAGCCAAGUAGCGUGAAGGAUGACUGCCCUAUGGGUUGUAAACUUCUUUUAUAUGGGAAUAAAAUGUUCCACGUGUGGGAUUUUGUAUGUACCAUAUGAAUAAGGAUCGGCUAACUCCGUGCCAGCAGCCGCGGUAAUACGGAGGAUCCGAGCGUUAUCAGGAUUUAUUGGGUUUAAAGGGAGCGUAGGUGGAUUGUUAAGUCAGUUGUGAAAGUUUGCGGCUCAACCGUAAAAUUGCAGUUGAAACUGGCAGUCUUGAGUACAGUAGAGGUGGGCGGAAUUCGUGGUGUAGCGGUGAAAUGCUUAGAUAUCACGAAGAACUCCGAUUGCGAAGGCAGUUCACUGGACUGCAACUGACACUGAGGCUCGAAAGUGUGGGUAUCAAACAGGAUUAGAUACCCGAGUAGUC
Molecule: ribosomal RNA, 460 nt
Filed under: uncultured bacterium
Lineage: Bacteria
Description: partial 16S ribosomal RNA
Rfam family: Bacterial small subunit ribosomal RNA
Source: RNAcentral